UGACCAAAUCAAGUCGGCGCCGCGUU
RNAcentral lists this small RNA (26 nucleotides) under Bombyx mori (domestic silkworm). Its description in RNAcentral is "ovarian small RNA-31498". Lineage: Eukaryota; Metazoa; Arthropoda; Insecta; Lepidoptera; Bombycidae. The record is from RNAcentral.